AGGACGAACGCUGGCGGCGUGCUUAACACAUGCAAGUCGAGCGAGGCUCCUCCUUCGGGAGGAUGCCCUAGCGGCGAACGGGUGAGUAACACGUGGGCAACCUGCCCCUAGCACUGGGAUAACCCCGGGAAACCGGGGCUAAUACCGGAUACGACUUCGGAAGGCAUCUUCUGAAGUGGAAAAGGUUACUGGCUAGGGAUGGGCCCGCGGCCUAUCAGCUUGUUGGUGGGGUAAUGGCCCACCAAGGCGACGACGGGUAGCCGGCCUGAGAGGGCGACCGGCCACACUGGGACUGAGACACGGCCCAGACUCCUACGGGAGGCAGCAGUGGGGAAUAUUGCACAAUGGGCGAAAGCCUGAUGCAGCGACGCCGCGUGAGGGAUGACGGCCUUCGGGUUGUAAACCUCUUUCAGCAGGACGAAGCGAAAGUGACGGUACCUGCAGAAGAAGCACCGGCCAACUACGCGCCAGCAGCCGC
Molecule: ribosomal RNA, 478 nt
Filed under: uncultured bacterium
Lineage: Bacteria
Description: SSU rRNA
Rfam family: Bacterial small subunit ribosomal RNA
Source: RNAcentral